This 426-nucleotide ribosomal RNA is filed under the name uncultured bacterium. RNAcentral describes it as "partial 16S ribosomal RNA". It matches the Rfam family "Bacterial small subunit ribosomal RNA", at positions 354 to 796 of the family's 1533-position model. The record is from RNAcentral.
GUGAGGAAUUUUCCGCAAUGGGCGAAAGCCUGACGGAGCAAUGCCGCGUGAAGGAUGAAGGCCUAUGGGUUGUAAACUUCUUUUCUCAGAAAAGAAUUAUGACGGUAUCUGAGGAAUAUGCAUCGGCUAACUCUGUGCCAGCAGCCGCGGUAAGACAGAGGAUGCAAGCGUUAUCCGGAAUGAUUGGGCGUAAAGCGUCUGUAGGUUGUUUAAAAAGUAUUCUGUCAAAGAUUAGGGCUUAACCCUAGAUAGGCAGAAUAAACUUUUAAGCUAGAGUUUGGUAGAGGCAGAGGGAAUUCCCGGUGGAGCGGUGAAAUGCGUAGAUAUCGGGAGGAACACCAAAGGCGAAGGCACUCUGCUGGGCCAAUACUAACACUGAGAGACGAAAGCGAGGGGAGCAAAUGGGAUUAGAUACCCGGGUAGUCC